Molecule: ribosomal RNA, 1433 nt
Filed under: Cosmetocleithrum parvum
Lineage: Eukaryota; Metazoa; Platyhelminthes; Monogenea; Dactylogyridea; Ancylodiscoididae
Description: partial large subunit ribosomal RNA
Rfam family: Eukaryotic large subunit ribosomal RNA
Source: RNAcentral
CCUAGUAACGGCGAGUGAAAGGAGAUUAGCCCAGCACCGAAGUUCAUCUAUGCUUUUAGAUAGAACAAUGUGGUGUUAAGGUAUGCACGAUUUUCUAUUUAUCAACUCGAAGUCCAGCUCCGAUUAUGGCUAGACAUUUGUUCCAAAGAGGGUGAAAGGCCCGUUCGAGUUGAUAGACUAGUUAAUAAUGUGCAUGCCCUCGAGUCGGAUUGCUUGAGAAUGCAGUCCAAAUUGGGUGGUAAACUCCAUCUAAGGCUAAAUACUGGCACGAGUCCGAUAGUAAACAAGUACCGCGAGGGAAAGUUGAAAAGUACUCUGAAGAGAGAGUAAAUAGUACGUGAAACCGACUGAAUGGAAGCUGGUGGAGUCAAGCUUUUGUAUAGAGAAUUGGCACGGGGAAAUUUUUAGUGGAUGUUUAACAGAAUUGUAUUAAAAUUGCUCGCUGGCUAGCUAGAAUGAGCAUUCCGUUGGGAAUGUUCGCUUCUGUUAAUUAUUCCAUUCUCUUGUGCUAUUUUGCUAUGCAUUAGCCAUAGUCGAUGUACUCGUAAUAUGUGAUGGUCUAAUCGUGAUUUGGGAUACCUUGUGUCAUUCAUUUCACGGGACGGCAGGUAAUGGUUUUAAUGACUUGUCAUUUAAACUAUGUUAUUUGGUAAUUACUUGCUGACUAUCGUGUCUUCUAACAUAUUGAGUAUAUUGUUUAUUCGUGGUAAAUAUCGUAAAUGAUAUUAUCGCUUUAGCUAUGGCUAGGAGUAGAUUUUCCACCCGACCCGUCUUGAAACACGGACCAAGGAGUUUAACAUGUACGCAAGUCGCCGGGUUCUAAACCCAGUGGCAUAAUGAAAGUAAACGAUCUCUAAUCGAGAUCUAAGGUGUUAUCCUGGCGUAUCUUGUAUAAGUGCGUUAGUUGCAGCACCGGCCCGUUCCAUAAUGUAGUAUGUCUAGCCUCGGUUGGUGUGCGUCAUUGUGGCGGAGCAAGAGCGUACAUGUUGAGACCCGAAAGAUGGUGAACUAUGCUUGCGUAGGUUGAAGCCAGAGGAAACUCUGGUGGAGGACCGUCGCGGUUUUGACGUGCAAAUCGAUCGUCAAACGUGAGCAUAGGGGCGAAAGACUAAUCGAACCAUCUAGUAGCUGGUUCCCUCCGAAGUUUCCCUCAGGAUAGCUUGCACUCGAAAGAGACAGUUUCAUCCGGUAAAGCGAAUGAUUAGAGGUAUUGGGGACUACACGUCCUCAACCUAUUCUCAAACUAUAAAUGGGUACGAUGCAUAACUCGCUUAGUUGGAGUUUUGCAUUGAAUGCGAGUGCCAAGUGGGCCAUUUUUGGUAAGCAGAACUGGCGCUGUGGGAUGCUCCGAACGUCAGGAUAAGGUGCCAAAUAUUAACGCUCAUGAGACACCACAAAAGGUGUUAAUGCAUAUAGACAGCAGGACGGUGGCC